Molecule: ribosomal RNA, 253 nt
Filed under: uncultured bacterium
Lineage: Bacteria
Description: partial 16S ribosomal RNA
Rfam family: Bacterial small subunit ribosomal RNA
Source: RNAcentral
UACGUAGGGUGCGAGCGUUGUCCGGAAUUAUUGGGCGUAAAGAGCUUGUAGGCGGUUUGUCGCGUCUGCCGUGAAAAUCCGGGGCUCAACCCCGGACUUGCGGUGGGUACGGGCAGACUAGAGUGUGGUAGGGGAGACUGGAAUUCCUGGUGUAGCGGUGAAAUGCGCAGAUAUCAGGAGGAACACCGGUGGCGAAGGCGGGUCUCUGGGCCGAUAUUGACGCUGAGGAGCGAAAGCGUGGGGAGCGAACAGG